CAUCAAAACAUUGAAUAUGUUGCAAGAAUUCAACAAGUAGCCCUCCAACAUCAUGAAGAAACAUUUGGAAGAUUAGAGAGGAAAAUGGGUAAUUAAGAUGCACAAGUGGAAAAAUUAUGUGAGAGCAACUAUCCGAACAAUCAAAUAAAAAUGGUAGCCGAGUUAAGAAGUAAGAAUAUACUGACACCAUUGGAAGCAAAAAAGAGAAAAACUGAAACUGUUGAAACACACAAAGAAAGUGAAGAGGUGAACCCACGAGAAAAAGAGAAUGAUAAUGCUAUAAUAUCUGAAACACUCAUUGAUAAAGAUUCACCCUAAGGAAAAAUAGACGACAAAUACUAGAAGAAAGUAAGAAUCUUGACAACAUCUCAUAAUACAUCAAGUUAUCAUACCCGUAUCUCAAGAAGAAUGAGAAGCAUGAUACAUAGUUUAAAUUUUUUAUGGGGUUGCUUACUAGACUUCAAAUCAACAUAUCUUUGGCUAAAGCUCUUGAGAAGAUGCUAUGUAAAGUUUAUGAAAUAAAAAGAGGAAGUUCAAGGGUGAAGAAUCUAUUGCUCUAACCAAAAGUUGAAGUUCUAUCUUUUCAAGACGGUUACCUCCAGAGAAAAAAGACCCAGUAAAUUCCAACUCUUUUGAGAAACUAUCCAUAUAGGAAAAGCUUUGUGUGAUCAAGGUGAAAAAAUUAACUUGAUACCAUUAUCGAUUCUAAGAAAUAUCGAAAGAGUUGAGGUGAAGCCAUUAAGCGUUAUUCUAAGAUUUGGAAAUAAAACAACUAAACAUUCAUAUGAGUAGUAGUGGAGGACGUGAUGGUGCAAGUAGACAAGCUUUCCAUUCUAUCAAACUUCGUGAAAUUUGAGAUUCAAAGGAAUAUUGAUUUGCAGCGUGUCUCAUUAUUCUAUAAGAUGUGAGACCACAAAUUCUAAAAGCUUUCCGAGGGAAAGAUACGAACUUUGAAUUUUCUACGAUCUAUGCCAAAUUCAUGAAAUUCGUACCAAAUAAGAGGAAG
Molecule: long non-coding RNA, 1006 nt
Filed under: Medicago truncatula (barrel medic)
Lineage: Eukaryota; Viridiplantae; Streptophyta; Magnoliopsida; Fabales; Fabaceae
Description: lncRNA gene23335
Source: RNAcentral